Molecule: ribosomal RNA, 751 nt
Filed under: uncultured bacterium
Lineage: Bacteria
Description: bacterial SSU rRNA
Rfam family: Bacterial small subunit ribosomal RNA
Source: RNAcentral
GCAGUCGAACGGAAUCUUUCGGGAUUUAGUGGCGGACGGGUGAGUAACGCGUGAGAAUCUGCCUUCAGGUUCGGGACAACAGCUGGAAACGGCUGCUAAUACCGGAUGUGCCGAGAGGUGAAAGCUUAAGUGCCUGGAGAUGAGCUCGCGUCUGAUUAGCUAGUAGGAGUGGUAACGGCACCCCUAGGCGACGAUCAGUAGCUGGUCUGAGAGGAUGAUCAGCCACACUGGGACUGAGACACGGCCCAGACUCCUACGGGAGGCAGCAGUGGGGAAUUUUCCGCAAUGGGCGCAAGCCUGACGGAGCAAGACCGCGUGAGGGAAGAAGGUCUGUGGAUUGUAAACCUCUUUUGAUAGGGAAGAAGACAGUGACGGUACCUAUCGAAUCAGCCUCGGCUAACUCCGUGCCAGCAGCCGCGGUAAUACGGAGGAGGCAAGCGUUAUCCGGAAUUAUUGGGCGUAAAGAGUCCGUAGGUGGGUAACCAAGUCAGCUGUUAAAUAGUGAAGCUUAACUUCAUAGAGGCGGCUGAAACUGGUUGUCUAGAGUGUGGUAGGGGUAGAGGGAAUUUCCAGUGUAGCGGUGAAAUGCGUAGAUAUUGGAAAGAACACCGGUGGCGAAAGCGCUCUACUGGGCCUGCACUGACACUGAGGGACGAAAGCUAGGGGAGCGAAAGGGAUUAGAUACCCCUGUAGUCCUAGCCGUAAACGAUGGAUACUAGGCGUUGCCCGUAUCGACCCGGGCAGUGUCGUA